UGCUAGCAUACACUAUACAGCAGAUACCACCCUAGCCUUCUCAU
Molecule: transfer RNA, 44 nt
Filed under: Aspidoscelis gularis
Lineage: Eukaryota; Metazoa; Chordata; Lepidosauria; Squamata; Teiidae
Description: partial tRNA-Ala
Source: RNAcentral